UACGGGGGGGGCAAGCGUUGUUCGGAAUUACUGGGCGUAAAGGGCUCGUAGGCGGCCAACUAAGUCAGUUGUGAAAUCCCCAGGCUCAACCUGGGAACUGCGUCUGAUACUGGUUGGCUUGAAUCCGGGAGAGGGAUGCAGAAUUCCAGGUGUAGCGGUGAAAUGCGUAGAUACCAUAAAGAACACCGAUUGCGAAGGCAGCUUACUAGGCUGUAACUGACGCUGAGGCACGAAAGUGUGGGGAUCAAACAGG
This 253-nucleotide ribosomal RNA is filed under the name uncultured bacterium. RNAcentral's name for it is "partial 16S ribosomal RNA". It matches the Rfam family "Bacterial small subunit ribosomal RNA", at positions 524 to 776 of the family's 1533-position model. The record is from RNAcentral.